RNAcentral lists this long non-coding RNA (995 nucleotides) under Canis lupus familiaris (dog). RNAcentral describes it as "lncRNA (ENSCAFG00000057393.1)". The record is from RNAcentral. Lineage: Eukaryota; Metazoa; Chordata; Mammalia; Carnivora; Canidae.
GUUUAGUUUUCCACUGGAGCCACUCAGGGAGCCAGGAAAGGGUAUUUCUUACAUCUCCUGAUACUGUUUGACCACGCACAGGGGUUGGGAGCAAAUGCUGCUGCUGACCAGACUCUGUUGAGUCUCUGGGAGAACGAUUUUGCCUAGUGGAAGGAGGGAAAAGUUCUGGAGAAUGCAGAGACUCCUGAGUUUGAAUUUUGACACCACUACUUGGUAGCUCCGUGGCCCUGAGCAAAUCUCUCAACCUCUCUGGGCCUUUGUUUUUACAGAUGUGAGGAGCACAGAAAAGCACGGAUCAGGAUAGGCAGGUGGCUGAAGCACACAAAUGGCAGCUGCCAUCCUCCUCCCUGCUCUUAAUCUCCAGCAGGCCAGAAGCAGGCUGGGGAAGGGGGGGGGGGUCCACGCUGGGAGGGCUGGCUCUCCUCAUUUCAUCACAUCACUACCCUGUUUUCUGGUUUUGGUUAAAGGAUCUGUCAUUGGCCAGGAAUGGGAGUACCUCUAACAGGAAGAGGAAUUUCUGUUCCAAGCAGGGCAAAGAGAAGAAGGAGCGCAGGGCGCUGGCAUUUCCCGGAAGCCCAGGACAGGCCAGACCCAGUGGCAGGAGAAGAAAAACAAAGCUUCCUUCCAAGUGGAGUGAAAUUCUAAAUAUGAUAAGCCCGAGUUGGCACCAGGGCGGGUUGCAAGAAUGAACUUUUCCUUGUAAUUUGAUUUGUUUUCGGUUACGUCCAUCGAGCUGCUGAUUUUACACAAUACGUAAAUAACUUCACGCCCUGCUAUUUUUGCACUGAAGAUUUUGUUUCUGGCCUUUCCCAUGACAGUACAUAAGGUCCAUAAUGAUCUUUUGAAAUGGUGCAAAUCAUUCCAAGAGUGACCCUCAGCCAGUUGAUUAACCAUUCUCCUCCAACACUUAGCAUUUCUGGAACCUUCCAUCUUUGGUAAAGUCACUCUACUUAUAGUUUCCAAGUUUCAAGUCUACAGCACUGACUAUCAACAUC